UUAGCCCUGUGGAACUAAACGCCAGCAGAGUGAGCUGACUUUGUCUUUAUGCCAUAGGUUUCAUCAGACAAAACAUAAAGAAAAUUCUGAUCAGUGUUACUGUUGGUGCUGAUCUUAGGGACAGAGAAUGCCUAGUGUGUUUUUAGGUUCUAGAUGGAACUAGAGGUGGAAGUAAGAAGCAUCACAUUUUGCUUGUAAACUGGAUAUAUUUGUCCUAGCCCUCACUGAGAGGAAAUGAGUAUGAAACUUGAGUGUUAUUUUCAUGUGACUGCUUUUCAGAGCACAGCUGCACAUCAGAAACAUACUCCAACUUGGGGAGCCAUCAUGUCCCCAGGGUGUGCACUCUCCUUGCAGAUAAAAAAUGUGUACAGUGCUGACCCUUCAUUAGGAAGGGUUUCCUAGAGUGGCCAGAUCCUGAGCACCUGGCUGUUUUUUGCUGAAGGAGACCUGAGAAGUGUUCAGUCAUGACUAAGGGGACCCCAAGGAUGUAUCUGUGCUAAGUGCUAUCUCACACUGUUCCUAACAUUUUCACCAACAAAUGUAUCAGUGAGUGUUGAUGCUUCACUGCCAAAAGACAGUAGUAGACUGGAUCCGAUGAACAAUCAUGCUGCAGCUGUCUUAUUUUUCUCUUUGGUUAAUAGCUGGAGGAGCCAGCUGACAUGAGAUGAAGAAGGUAUUUUUCCAGCAGUAUCUGUUACCAGUGGAUAUAUGUGGUGUUUGUCAUGGCUGUCAGGAGUGUCGUGGAAUCUCUGUUUGCUUUGCUGUGUGUGCUCAGGCCUCUUGGAGCUUGCAGGGGAAUGAGAAGGCAGAGGUUAUCUGAGCAGCCCAGCAUGCAGGCAAGUUCCUGGAGGGCCCAAAAGAGUGCUCAGAGCCACAGGGUGUGUGACAUGCCACUUCAAGGACACAGUGAUAGGGAUACAAGCUGAGGGCCAUGAGAGUGACUGUUGAAAGAGGAAGAUGAGGCAGUGGUGUGCUUCUUAAAUAUGAGAGCUGGGUCCUCUUGCCAUGGGGUCUGUGGACACAUGAGGAGGCCCUUCCACUGCUUUGUGGGGGCCCCAGGGGUCAAUGGGCUGUGCCCUAUGCCAGGAGAACGUGACACAGUCACGGGGUGCCUGACUGGAACACCACCCUUCUGUCUUUGUGAAGAGCUGAGGGGAUGACCCUGUGGGACUGGGUGAAUGCCUGGGGUCUAACUCUUGGGUCAGGAUCCCAGCCCUAGGGAGAGGGAUGGUGGCUUGCAGAGCCAGCUCUGUGAGGGAGGAGGAAGAGGAUGCUGUGAAGUUUCCAGCAAAGCUAAAGAGGUCUCUGACACUGGUGCGCUUCUGUGGCUCAUGGACAUGGUCAUGCAAGGAGAAUUGGAUACUUAAAAGUCCACUGCUGCACAUCUUUUGCCAAAACUUCUGACAUGUCGAGCCAUGUGUUUUUUUCCACCUUGUGCCCAUGUGGUGGCUCCUGGAGUUUUCUUCUCUGGCAGGUGACUUUGUAGCACCUCACAGACCUGGCACUAGAGGAAGAAGCACGUUGGCUUUGCUAUUCUCCUUUUAGCUCUAUCUGCUGAUUCCAAGGGACUUGUAUGAUUACAUUUGCUUACAUUCCCUUAUGGCAACUUAUUCCCUUUUUUCCUUAUUCCCCUUUUUGGGCCGUUUGUGUGCUUUCUGGUGCUUUGCCAUACAUGCUGACUUCAGCACCAAAGUGGGUUUGAGGGAGCAACAAACUUAGCAUGAAGCUGUUUCUGUUCACCAUAAAACCAAACACCAUAAAGCUAUGCAUGGGACUUCCAAUGGCUCCAUCUUGUAUGUGAUAGGCUUCUGUGUGAGGAGAGUGCAGUAGAUGCCUUCUCUUAAGGACCAGCACUAACCAGUCUUAACAGUCUGCUUUGGAAUAAGGAAGGGUGGAGAAGAUAGAGGAGACACCAGGUACCCCAGUCAGUGAGCUUCAGGGACCUGUGUGUGUGGCCAGCAGAUAAGCCCAGGAACAAGAGGAUCCAGGAGAAGGUGGUUUGGAAGAUAAGGUGGCCCAGAGACAGAGCAAUGUGGAUGGCCACUCUUGUAUGGGCAGUGUGGUGUCUGCACUGUGCUACCUGACGUGGGCUCUCUGAGGGGGCAAGUUGCCAGUCUGGAAGAAUUCAGGGACAGUUGCAAAUUCACACCAAUAUUGUGUGUAUCUGUUUUAUACUGUUACCACCGCCACACUGUUUGUUGUGCCCCGUGCACAGGCCAAAGUAACCGUGGCACCUGUGGCAGUGGAUCGUAGCUUGAUCUCAGAGCUUGUACUGGGCAGCACUUACCUUGCUGGGCAGAUCCAGCUCCAUCUGCUUUCUUGGUUGUUGCAGCAGUUUGUAGCAGCAGACUCGAUGACAGUGCUGAUGGUCAGGUGGAGCUGCUCAAGGAAUGGUGGUCUUCUGCAGGAACAGCCCCGUCUGUGCCCUUUUGAACUGCAGGACUGUCCUGAUUGCCCUGCGCACUCUCCUUUGCUUGAUUUGUUGGUUGAUACACAUUUGAUCUUACACACACAUUUCUUUGCCAGAUUCAAACCAGCUUUUUC
Long non-coding RNA from Oxyura jamaicensis (ruddy duck), 2544 nucleotides. RefSeq lists it as uncharacterized. Lineage: Eukaryota; Metazoa; Chordata; Aves; Anseriformes; Anatidae. The transcript is spliced from 3 exons. The record is from RefSeq and is a predicted model, not a curated record.